RNAcentral lists this ribosomal RNA (430 nucleotides) under uncultured bacterium. RNAcentral's name for it is "bacterial SSU rRNA". It matches the Rfam family "Bacterial small subunit ribosomal RNA", at positions 356 to 777 of the family's 1533-position model. The record is from RNAcentral.
GGGGAAUAUUGGACAAUGGGGGGAACCCUGAUCCAGCCAUGCCGCGUGUGUGAAGAAGGCCUUUUGGUUGUAAAGCACUUUAAGUGGGGAGGAGGCUUACCUGGUUAAUACCUAGGAUAAGUGGACGUUACCCACAGAAUAAGCACCGGCUAACUCUGUGCCAGCAGCCGCGGUAAUACAGAGGGUGCGAGCGUUAAUCGGAUUUACUGGGCGUAAAGCGCGCGUAGGUGGUUAAUUAAGUCAAAUGUGAAAUCCCCGAGCUUAACUUGGGAAUUGCAUUCGAUACUGGUUAGCUAGAGUAUGGGAGAGGAUGGUAGAAUUCCAGGUGUAGCGGUGAAAUGCGUAGAGAUCUGGAGGAAUACCGAUGGCGAAGGCAGCCAUCUGGCCUAAUACUGACACUGAGGUGCGAAAGCAUGGGGAGCAAACAGGA